This 326-nucleotide small nuclear RNA is filed under the name Procavia capensis (Cape rock hyrax). Its description in RNAcentral is "7SK RNA (ENSPCAG00000019739.1)". It matches the Rfam family "7SK RNA". Rfam says of the family: 7SK was discovered as an abundant small nuclear RNA in the mid-70s but a possible function has only recently been suggested. Lineage: Eukaryota; Metazoa; Chordata; Mammalia; Hyracoidea; Procaviidae. The record is from RNAcentral.
GGACAAAAGGGCAAUCUGGCUGCAACAUCUGCCACUCCGUUGAUCACCAAGGUUGAUUUGGCUGAUCUGGCUGGUUGGACAGGUAUCCACUUCUACCUGCACCAUUCCAUGUGUAUUUGUCGCAAACCUAACCACUUGGUCAAAGAGGACAGACGAGAAUCAUUCUUCAGUCAAGGGUAUGUGAGUCUCUGUGCUCUUCUACUUAACCCUCUAAACAAACAACAAAACCAAACUCAGUGCCGUCCAGUUGAUUCUGACACAUAGCAACCCUCUAGGGUGGAACAGAACUGCUCUACAAAGUUUCCAAGUAGCACCUGGCGGAUUUG